Molecule: unclassified non-coding RNA, 226 nt
Filed under: Hevea brasiliensis (rubber tree)
Lineage: Eukaryota; Viridiplantae; Streptophyta; Magnoliopsida; Malpighiales; Euphorbiaceae
Source: RNAcentral
UUACUGAUUUUGCGGGCUUCGGCAAUGAAUUCCUCACCUCUCAUGGGAACACUUAAAAAUGGACUUUUUCCAACAACUUGGGGCCUUUAUAGCCUGCACUUCUUAUGACAAUCUUAGGGAUGACCAUCAGAUGCACUUGAAAAAGGAAAUUGUUGAAUACACCAACUCCAACACAAAGCAGUAAAGGGAGUUCUCCAUUGUACUCCCCCUACAUUAUUCUACGUUG